RNAcentral lists this transfer RNA (76 nucleotides) under Prevotella sp. Its description in RNAcentral is "tRNA-Pro". It matches the Rfam family "tRNA". Rfam says of the family: Transfer RNA (tRNA) molecules are approximately 80 nucleotides in length. Their secondary structure includes four short double-helical elements and three loops (D, anti-codon, and T loops). RNAcentral also lists the same sequence under 7 other names. The record is from RNAcentral. Lineage: Bacteria; Pseudomonadati; Bacteroidota; Bacteroidia; Bacteroidales; Prevotellaceae.
CGGGAUUUAGCGCAGUUGGUAGCGCACACGUCUGGGGGGCGCGAGGUCGCUGGUUCGAGUCCAGUAAUCCCGACCA